AUGGCUUGCUACCUGUGCAACCCAUACCCUCACCUCCCUGCAUGCACUACAAUCAUUGCUCCGGGCCCUAAACAAGCGCAGCGAGGCUACGUCAUCCUCGGCGGUGAGCUUCCCAUGGUCUGUGAUGAGUGGGCGAUAGCUACUCUGGUUCCGGCUGUUCCACCUGAAGAUUUCCCUGCCGCCAAUGCAAUGAUCAUUAAGUACCUCGAAGCCAAGGGAUGGAGGGUCAACUACUCUUCCAGAUGUGGUAUGGGUACUGCUCUGAUCCAAUUUACUACUGCAUGUUCGAGAGAUUCUGCCAUUAAUAAUAGUCCAUAUGAGAUUGGAGACUCUGUUCUUUGCAUUACCAGGCAUGAUAGGAGUUUGAACUACCGUAGCAUCACUUUUACCCAUGAUGUUUGGCUCAUGUUAAUGAACUAUCCACUGGAAUGCUGGGAGGUUGGAGUUGUUAGCCGCACUGUAUCUCAAUACGGCAGAUUUCUGAUCUGGAACAAUGACCCGAGAGACAAAACCAAGAUUAUUGUUAAGGUCAGAGUGAUGAAUGUGGAUACUUUACCCGUCAGUAUUGUUGUUCUGCGCAAUCUGGAUGAUGUUGGGUAUGGUGAUUCUUGGACUUGUCCCACCUAUAUUCUUUCUCGUGAGCUCAUUGGCCAGCUUGGUGGUGAUGAAGAUCCCCUCCCCCCAGAUGGAGGAAACCCACAUCCUCUCCCGCAUGUUCAGGAUGGUUUUUGGCACGACGAUGUUCUUGGCAACAUCCCCAUGGAACAGGUUGUUAUCAAUCCGCACAAUGAGCAUCUUGGAGCUCUUUAUGAGGAUGUUUAUGCACCUGCUACUGCUGACAAUGCCAACAUUAAUCUGAAUGAGGUGUUACCCACUGCCGCACAGGCGCCCAAUGAGGGAGUGCAAGAGGAUCAGAUGGAUUUUAUCCCUGUGCCUGCUGAUGGAUCUUAG
This 951-nucleotide ribosomal RNA is filed under the name Triticum aestivum (bread wheat). RNAcentral describes it as "partial small subunit ribosomal RNA". The record is from RNAcentral. Lineage: Eukaryota; Viridiplantae; Streptophyta; Magnoliopsida; Poales; Poaceae.